CUUACAGCUCACAGUUUGUGUGAGACCUGGCUCCAUCAGGCAGACACCCCCGUGUGGGGUCUGGAGGUGCGGCGGAUGUGAACAAGACCAAGUCCAAGCCCUCGUGGAAUCAACAAAUCAACCAGACCUACCCUAAUACUCCAAGAGAAGAACAAAUAGAACACAUAAACAAAAACAGAAAUGCAAAUGGCAAAUAAAGAUAUAAAUGAA
Long non-coding RNA from Camelus dromedarius (Arabian camel), 210 nucleotides. RefSeq lists it as uncharacterized. The record is from RefSeq and is a predicted model, not a curated record. NCBI's taxonomy places the organism in Eukaryota, Metazoa, Chordata, Mammalia, Artiodactyla, Camelidae. The transcript is spliced from 2 exons.